Molecule: long non-coding RNA, 222 nt
Organism: Protobothrops mucrosquamatus (brown spotted pit viper)
Lineage: Eukaryota; Metazoa; Chordata; Lepidosauria; Squamata; Viperidae
Exons: 3
Source: RefSeq, a predicted model, not a curated record
UGGAAUGUAAGAAAGCACAACCUAAAGAAGUGAUGUUUCCACCAGGGACACGAGGACGAGCUCGCGGAUUACCAUAUACUAUGGAUGCUUUUAUGCUUGGAAUGGGAAUGUUGGGUUACCCAAAUUUUGUUGCAACCUAUGGCCGAGGAUAUCCUGGAUUUGCCCCCAGUUACAGUUAUCAAUUUCCAGUGCUUUCCGUGGGAUCUUCAAUCAAACCCAGUU